UACAGAGGGUGCAAGCGUUGUUCGGAAUUAUUGGGCGUAAAGCGCGUGUAGGCGGCUUUGCAAGUCGGGUGUGAAAGCCCUCAGCUCAACUGAGGAAGUGCGCCCGAAACUGCAGAGCUUGAGUGCCGGAGAGGGUGGCGGAAUUCCCCAAGUAGAGGUGAAAUUCGUAGAUAUGGGGAGGAACACCGGUGGCGAAGCGGACGC
Molecule: ribosomal RNA, 204 nt
Filed under: uncultured bacterium
Lineage: Bacteria
Description: partial 16S ribosomal RNA
Rfam family: Bacterial small subunit ribosomal RNA
Source: RNAcentral